UAUACAAUCCUUAAGAUUAAGCAACUGAUCCAUCUAUCAAUAUUUAUUUCCUAUAUUAAUAUAUUUACUUCCUAUAACUUAUAACACUCCUCUUCAAGUUGGAUCAUAAAUGUUAAUCAUACCCAAUUUGUUACAUAUAUAAUCAACUUGAGUCCCAUUUAGAGUUUGAGUGAAAAUAUCUCCUAAUUUUUAUCAAAUAGAUUAAUAUAUUUAGAGAUCUUUUAUAAAAAAUAAAGAGAACAAAAAGAUAAAAAAUCAACAACAUCAACUCUUGGAAAUGGUAACAAUGACUCUAAAAUAAAACAGAAAAUGAAAGGAAAAAAAAAAAAAAAAGCAGGCAAGGCAAAUUGUUUUCCCCUUUUAAUGUUCUUACAUAACAACAGUUCUAAGUGAGCGAAAUUCCUUGUUAGGAAAAUUUCAGAAGAUUAAUGAUGAUUUGAAGGAGAAGGACCAGAAGGACCAGAGGGAGGAGAAGAAGGGAGCUUAACGUCUGUCAAUUUUCUGACAAUCUUUCUAAACUUUCCAUCACCUUGUCUGAAGAUUAAUGGUGAUUGAAGAUUAUCAAUUUCUGCAGGCAUGUGAAGGAUCGGAUGGAUAUUUUUCUCUUUGCUUCUCUCUUCUGAAGUCAGUUCUUCAGCUUCAGCUUCAAGAGAAUGUGAGAUUGAUCCAGCAAAAAUUAAGCAUAAGAAUAGCAACUUCAUCAUCAAACUGCAGAAGAAAUUAAAUUAAAUAAUAUUUGAAAUUGCAUGUUGAACAAAAUAAUUUUAUUUUCUUGAGAAAGAAGUUAAAUUUACCUUGCCAUAAUGAUCUUGGCUCUAAGAAUCUCCUUGUUGAUUUUUUCCUUAUCUACUACUGUAUAUAUAUAUAAUAAAAUUUUUCUGUAAGAAUUUAA
Molecule: long non-coding RNA, 892 nt
Filed under: Manihot esculenta (cassava)
Lineage: Eukaryota; Viridiplantae; Streptophyta; Magnoliopsida; Malpighiales; Euphorbiaceae
Description: long non-coding RNA (MESC_LNC003797)
Source: RNAcentral